This 103-nucleotide small nuclear RNA is filed under the name Castor canadensis (American beaver). Lineage: Eukaryota; Metazoa; Chordata; Mammalia; Rodentia; Castoridae. The record is from RNAcentral.
GUGCUCACUUCGGCAGCACAUGUAUGACACAGAGAACAAUGCGAAGAAGAUUAGGAUGGCCCCUGUGCAAGGAUACAUGCAAAUUCAGUUUAUGUAUCUAUAU